UACGUAGGGUGCAAGCGUUAAUCGGAAUUACUGGGCGUAAAGCGUGCGCAGGCGGUUUUGUAAGUCUGACGUGAAAUCUCCGGGCUCAACCUGGGAAUUGCGUUGGAGACUGCAAGGCUAGAAUCUGGCAGAGGGGGGUAGAAUUCCACGUGUAGCAGUGAAAUGCGUAGAGAUGUGGAGGAACACCGAUGGCGAAGGCAGCCCCCUGGGUCAAGAUUGACGCUCAUGCACGAAAGCGUGGGGAGCAAACAGG
This 253-nucleotide ribosomal RNA is filed under the name uncultured bacterium. Its description in RNAcentral is "partial 16S ribosomal RNA". It matches the Rfam family "Bacterial small subunit ribosomal RNA", at positions 524 to 776 of the family's 1533-position model. The record is from RNAcentral.